UACGAAGGGGGCUAGCGUUGUUCGGAUUUACUGGGCGUAAAGCGAGUGUAGGCGGUUCGGUAAGUCGGAUGUGAAAGCCCCGGGCUCAACCCGGGAAGUGCACUCGAUACUGGAAGGCUUGAAUCCGGGAGAGGGAUGCGGAAUUCCAGGUGUAGCGGUGAAAUGCGUAGAUAUCUGGAGGAACACCGGUGGCGAAGGCGGCAUCCUGGACCGGUAUUGACGCUGAGGCGCGAAAGCCAGGGGAGCAAACGGG
Molecule: ribosomal RNA, 253 nt
Filed under: uncultured bacterium
Lineage: Bacteria
Description: partial 16S ribosomal RNA
Rfam family: Bacterial small subunit ribosomal RNA
Source: RNAcentral